This 496-nucleotide ribosomal RNA is filed under the name uncultured bacterium. RNAcentral describes it as "partial 16S ribosomal RNA". It matches the Rfam family "Bacterial small subunit ribosomal RNA", at positions 29 to 507 of the family's 1533-position model. The record is from RNAcentral.
AUAAACGCUGGCGGCGUGCCUAAUACAUGCCGGUCGAGCGAACAGACGAGGAGCUUGCUCCUCUGAUGUUAGCGGCGGACGGGUGAGUAACACGUGGAUAACCUACCUAUAAGACUGGGAUAACUUCGGGAAACCGGAGCUAAUACCGGAUAACAUGUUGAACCGCAUGGUUCAACAGUGAAAGACGGUCUUGCUGUCACUUAUAGAUGGAUCCGCGCCGCAUUAGCUAGUUGGUAAGGUAACGGCUUACCAAGGCAACGAUGCGUAGCCGACCUGAGAGGGUGAUCGGCCACACUGGAACUGAGACACGGUCCAGACUCCUACGGGAGGCAGCAGUAGGGAAUCUUCCGCAAUGGGCGAAAGCCUGACGGAGCAACGCCGCGUGAGUGAAGAAGGUCUUCGGAUCGUAAAACUCUGUUAUUAGGGAAGAACAAAUGUGUAAGUAACUAUGCACGUCUUGACGGUACCUAAUCAGAAAGCCACGGCUAACUACGUG